Molecule: long non-coding RNA, 403 nt
Filed under: Cyanistes caeruleus (blue tit)
Lineage: Eukaryota; Metazoa; Chordata; Aves; Passeriformes; Paridae
Description: lncRNA (ENSCCEG00000023904.1)
Source: RNAcentral
CUUCACUGCUGUUCUUCCAGGCUCAUUGGUCAGAUCUUUGUGGGUGAAAGACUGAUCUCUUUCUGGUUGGUGGUGAGUUUUUCAGCAUCCCUGAGGAGACACAUCAUUUUCUAGUGCAGUCUCAGACAUGAGCUCUCUGCAGAGGGAUUUCUGAAAUAUUCUAUCCAACCUCCACCCAGGAUACAGGCUACUUUCUAUCCUCUCCUGGCCUGGGGAACUUCUGGACGCACACUGAAGGUGCACUGUUGCAAGCUUGAAAGAUGGCAAGCUCAAAGCAUAUGGACAGAAUAACAGUACAGCUGAUUCAAUGCCCAUGAACCAGUGGUAUAAGUGAACCUAUUGUAUUUACACUGAACAAAAUGAGUUUGUAAAUAAAAAUACACCACAUGAUAUAAAGAAAACA